This 301-nucleotide ribosomal RNA is filed under the name uncultured bacterium. Its description in RNAcentral is "partial 16S ribosomal RNA". It matches the Rfam family "Bacterial small subunit ribosomal RNA", at positions 509 to 807 of the family's 1533-position model. The record is from RNAcentral.
CAGCCGCCGCGGUAAAACGAAGGGUGCAAGCGUUACUCGGAAUUACUGGGCGUAAAGCGUGCGUAGGCGGUUUGUUAAGUCUGUUGUGAAAUCCCCGGGCUCAGCCUGGGAAUGGCAAUGGAUACUGGCAAGCUAGAGUGUGUCAGAGGAUGCUGGAAUUCCCGGUGUAGCGGUGAAAUGCGUAGAGAUCGGGAGGAACAUCAGUGGCGAAGGCGGCCAUCUGGGACAACACUGACGCUGAGGCACGAAAGCGUGGGGAGCAAACAGGAUUAGAUACCCGGGUAGUCCCUGUCUCUUAUAC